UUGUUUCCCGUAAGGCGCCGAAUGAGUCAUUAAAAAAUUAACAUCAUCCGAUCCCUAGUCGGCAUAGUUUAUGGUUAAGACUACGACGGUAUCUGAUCGUCUUCGAUCCCCUAACUUUCGUUCUUGAUUAAUGAAAACAUCCUUGGCAAAUGCUUUCGCAGUAGUUAGUCUUCAAUAAAUCCAAGAAUUUCACCUCUGACAAUUGAAUACUAAUGCCCCCAACUAUCCCUAUUAAUCAUUACGUCAAUCCUAGAAACCAACAAAAUAGGAUCGAACGUCCUAUUUCAUUAUUCCAUGCUAAUGUAUUCAAGCGUUAGCUUGCUUUAAACACUCUAAUUUUUUCAAAGUAACAGUCCAAAUUCCCCGCAACACCAAAUUAAUGGCAUUACGGCUCAUCAGGAAGGAGGAAUCAGUGAGACCAGUACAUACCAGAGGCAUGACCAACCUACUAACCCCGAAAUUCAACUACGAGCUUUUUAACUGCAACAACUUUAAUAUACGCUAUUGGAGCUGGAAUUACCGCGGCUGCUGGCACCAGACUUGCCCUCCAAAA
RNAcentral lists this ribosomal RNA (553 nucleotides) under uncultured Glomus. RNAcentral describes it as "partial 18S ribosomal RNA". Lineage: Eukaryota; Fungi; Glomeromycota; Glomeromycetes; Glomerales; Glomeraceae. The record is from RNAcentral.